GAAAUGCGAUAAGUAAUGUGAAUUGCAGAAUUCAGUGAAUCAUCGAAUCUUGGAACGCACAUUGCGCCCGCCAGCACUCUGGCGGGCAUGCCUGUUCGAGCGUCAUUUCAACCCUCAGAACCCCUUGCGGGAUCUGGCGUUGGGGAUUGGCAUCCAGCCAGCCCCGAAAUCUAGUGGCGGUCCCUCCGCGACCUCCCCUGUGCAGUAGCGAUACCUCGCAGCGGGACAGCGGUCUGACCACGCCGUAAAACCCCCAACUUCUCAAGGUUGACCUCGAAUCAGGUACGAAUACCCGCUGAACAUAAGC
RNAcentral lists this unclassified non-coding RNA (307 nucleotides) under plant metagenome. RNAcentral's name for it is "partial contains 5.8S ribosomal RNA, internal transcribed spacer 2, and large subunit ribosomal RNA". The stretch from base 1 to 105 matches the Rfam family "5.8S ribosomal RNA", at positions 50 to 154 of the family's 154-position model. The record is from RNAcentral.